CCCUCUUCUCACUCCCUUGUCCUGAUAUUUUUACCUCCACUCACUCUCUCUCCUCUCCCCUCACUCUCUCUUUCUUUCCUUAACUCUCUCUCUCCUCUCUACUCCUCCUCGGGCGGCGGCAGUGGCGGUGGUGCGGCUCGGCCGCCUCGGGCUCUGGCCUGGAGCUAGCGGCAGCGGGGGCGGUGACCUCGGGCGAAGAGUGGGCGGCGGCGCCACCGCCAUCUCCUCCUCACCGCCGCCACAGACGACGACGAGGAGGCGACGGGCCAGAUCCGGUGGCGGCAGGCCUCGUCCCGCUGGGAUCCGGCGGUGGUGGGCCUCGUCCCGCCCGGAUCCGGAGGCGGGAGUGGGCGGCGGGAGCGAGGGCGGCCGGCGGCGGGAGCGGGGGAUCCGGCGGCGGCGCGGCGAUGACGACCUCCCCGCGAUGGCGGCCUCCCUUCCCCGACCUCCCAUACGCGGCGGCGGCCUCCCUUCCCCGACGGCGGCGGGCACAGCGAGGACUAAUUUGUUUGUGUGAUGCCCUAUGCUAAUGUGCAGCCAUGUGCACAUUAUUUCUAUUGCAUCAUGUGCAGCCAGUUUGUAGAUCCAUUGAUAUUUUGUUCUUGUAUCAUGUUCUUAUUAAUACUGGGAUAAUUUGCAGAGAAAAAUUCUAAAUUGCAGGAUUGGGAGCUACUACUGCGUCACAACAGGUAAUCUCAUCAAAUGCUACUGGAGAUAUGGGUUAGUUAGAUGAAUCUGAUUUGUGCGAUGGGGUUAUUCUGGAAGGGAGGCAAUGAAUUCUUAGUAGGUUUGUCAACUGUAGAGACGAUGUAAAGAGAAAUCUUAGUAGUCUAAGCCAAGUUAGACCUGAAAACUUUGAAUUGAUAUAUCCUUACCCUUCUUGAGAACUAUCAAUAAUCAAAUAAAUAUGCAAUUAAGGAUAGUACAUGGUUUGUAAACGCAAGUUUUUGUCUCAUUUUCCCAUAUCCCUACAUACUUUAUAAAUAAGGGUAUUUCAUGGCCCUACUUGCCAAGUUCAUGAGCUAAAACAUGUACAAAAGCUGAUAUAUUUGCUCACUUUGCAAAAGGAAACCUAGAGGGUGAAGGUUGCUGAGAGGGGUGGUACUGUGAUGGCAGACAGACUAUGGUUCUUGGUGCUCACAAUCUGCAAGGUACAUUUUUUUGGCAACUCUUGUGAUUGGCAUGUUGUUCUCUAUGCUGUGCACUUAUAAAUGUCUCUCUACCUUUGAAGUAUAUAUUAAAAUGGUUCUCCUUACAUUUAAGUAAUCCAUUUACCACUUGUCAUUUGUGUGUUGAAGGCAUUUUUUUCACUCAUCAGUAUUCUAAAAUGCUAACUGUCAAGUUCACUCAGCAGUGUGAGACAUGCCUAUUCUCUACAAUUUUUCUUUUGGUUCCAUGUGCUGACCUUUUCAGCUUAAGAUGCCAUUUUAGUCUACCUGACUAAUUACUACAGAGGUCCCUCCAAUACUAGGAGUAGCAGGAUUAUGCAAUGUUCUUUUCUUCCACAAAUAACUUGAAUGAACAUAAUUAUUCCUCUUCCUGCAUAUAGCUCUGAAAUAUUGUUUUCACUUGAUUGCAGAUGGAACUAGGCUGGAGACUUCUUGGUGCUCAAGAUUCACUUGUUUAUUUUGUUAUGUAGGAGAGGUGUAAGAACUUAGACUGUACUACUGUUUCUAUGGCAUCAUGUGUACCUAGUUGGUGGAUCGAUUCAUAGUGUUCUUCUAUCAUGUUCUUGUUAACACUGAGAAUCUGUAGCUAAUGUUCACUGAUUAUUAUGUGGUACCAAUUUGUUUGCAUGAAACAUGCUUAUUGAUCUGUUGGUUGCC
This 1826-nucleotide long non-coding RNA is filed under the name Oryza sativa (Asian cultivated rice). Its description in RNAcentral is "long non-coding RNA (OSAT_LNC000603)". The record is from RNAcentral. Lineage: Eukaryota; Viridiplantae; Streptophyta; Magnoliopsida; Poales; Poaceae.